RNAcentral lists this ribosomal RNA (440 nucleotides) under Theileria ovis. RNAcentral's name for it is "SSU rRNA". It matches the Rfam family "Eukaryotic small subunit ribosomal RNA", at positions 514 to 987 of the family's 1831-position model. Lineage: Eukaryota; Apicomplexa; Aconoidasida; Piroplasmida; Theileriidae. The record is from RNAcentral.
AUGAUGGGAAUUUAAACCUCUUCCAGAGUAUCAAUUGGAGGGCAAGUCUGGUGCCAGCAGCCGCGGUAAUUCCAGCUCCAAUAGCGUAUAUUAAAAUUGUUGCAGUUAAAAAGCUCGUAGUUGAAUUUCUGCUGCAUUGCUUUUGCUCCUUUACGAGUCUUUGCAUUGUGGCUUAUUUCGGACUUUGUUUUACAAUGUCCGGAUGUUUACUUUGAGAAAAUUAGAGUGCUCAAAGCAGGCUUUCGCCUUGAAUAGUUUAGCAUGGAAUAAUAAAGUAGGACUUUGGUUCUAUUUUGUUGGUUUUAGGUACCAAAGUAAUGGUUAAUAGGAACAGUUGGGGGCAUUCGUAUUUAACUGUCAGAGGUGAAAUUCUUAGAUUUGUUAAAGACGAACUACUGCGAAAGCAUUUGCCAAGGAUGUUUUCAUUAAUCAAGAACGAA